Molecule: unclassified non-coding RNA, 299 nt
Filed under: Hygrocybe sp.
Lineage: Eukaryota; Fungi; Basidiomycota; Agaricomycetes; Agaricales; Hygrophoraceae
Also listed under: 1 other name
Description: partial contains 5.8S ribosomal RNA, internal transcribed spacer 2, and large subunit ribosomal RNA
Rfam family: 5.8S ribosomal RNA (bases 1-52)
Source: RNAcentral
AACGCACCUUGCACUCUUUGGUAUUCCGAAGAGUAUGUCUGUUUGAGUGUCGUGAAACUCUCAACCCCCCCUUUUUGUAACGAGAUGGGCGUGGGCUUGGAUUAUGGCUGUCUGUCGGUUCUAAUCGAAUCGGCUCGGCUGAAAUACAUGAGCGGACCACACUGAAUACAGUGACGGCUUGACUCGGCGUAAUAAUCUUUUCGCUGAGGACGUCCAUUUUUUCAGAUAGGCGCUUCUAAUGCUACAAAUCUUUUUAAGCUUUAGACCUCAAAUCAGUCAGGACUACCCGCUGAACUUAA